Molecule: unclassified non-coding RNA, 322 nt
Filed under: soil metagenome
Description: partial contains 5.8S ribosomal RNA, internal transcribed spacer 2, and large subunit ribosomal RNA
Rfam family: 5.8S ribosomal RNA (bases 1-120)
Source: RNAcentral
GAUGAAGAACGUAGCGAAAUGCGAUAAGUAAUGCGAAUUGCAGAAUUCAGUGAGUCAUCGAAUCUUUGAACGCACAUUGCGCCCUGUGGUAUUCCGCAGGGCAUGCCUGUUCGAGCGUCAUUUCAACCCUCAAGCUCUGCUUGGUGUUGGGCCCUGCCCGCUGCGGCCGGCCCUAAAGACAGUGGCGGUGCCGCCUGGCCCUGAGCGUAGUACAUCUCUCGCUCCAGUGCCCGGUGGUAGCCUGCCAGAACCCCAACUCUCGUGGUUGACCUCGGAUCAGGUAGGGAUACCCGCUGAACUUAAGCAUAUCAAUAGCGGAGGA